This 2472-nucleotide unclassified non-coding RNA is filed under the name Leishmania donovani. Its description in RNAcentral is "gene:LdHU3.21.0340(CDS-product:Pentatricopeptide_ repeat_domain_containing_protein_putative)". Lineage: Eukaryota; Euglenozoa; Kinetoplastea; Trypanosomatida; Trypanosomatidae. The record is from RNAcentral.
CUCCCCGGGUGGCACAGCUUUGGUCAUCCCUACCGAUCCCCUCCACUCGCACACACGCGUACUCAACCGAACCAGCAGUGGCAGCCCAUCAUGCAGGCUCGUCUUCGACGCUGCCUUCAAUGCAGCUCCGGAAGUGACGUUGUCUCGCUCUCCUCUGCUCAACCUCCGCAGCCUUCGACGUGGUCGUUGAUCCGGCGAGCGCCCCUCCUCCUCCUCAGCAGCGGCAGCGGUGUCACGUCCGUGCGCUGCUACUCACAUGAAGGAGAUUGCUCUUCCUCGCGCCGCACACCCGCUGCGGUAGCGCCUUCUACUGCCGCCCCCUCGGCGUCCCCUGACCCAGCGACAACAACGCUCGGUGCACUUCAGCGCUAUGUGCACCAACGCGACUACGGCGGCUGUGCGGCCUUCUACGAGCAGCACUUCAACCCAGCACAGCAGCACUUUAUAACCGACUUCUGCCAGGACUUUGUGGCCGACGCCCGCGACGCGCUAAUCACACUGAUGCGCGUGUACACCAACCUUGGACGCAUAGACAAGGUGCGUGAGGUGCUUGCCGUGGGCCUGCGCGACCUCGCCGCCCCAAAGGAGCCCAAGUUGGCAUCACCUGUGCAAUAUGCAUGGCUGGGCAGCAGCGCAAGGCGGCGGGACGGCGGCAACGCCACGGCUGCCACCGGUACCCCGCUGAAGUUGCAAGACGACCUCCUCGCCCCAGGUGCUGCCGCAAGGGGAGGCAGGUCAUGCGACACCAGCGCCAUCAUGUGGUGGCGCCGUCCCACCGUGCUCAACGCUGACGUCUUCAACGCGUACUUCGAGGCACUCACGCGGCGAAACAAGUACGCCGUGGAGGAGGUCGUCUUUGUGCUCGAUCAGAUGAAGGCGUGUGGUGUGGAGAAGGAUGCGUUGACGUACCACUACUUGGUGGAGCUGCACGUGCGAGCGGGCUACGACCCGACCGGGUUGUGGGAGGAGAUGAAGCAGCGGGAGCCGGAAGUGACCCCGCUGCCUGCCACGGUGCAGACGUUCAUGCUGCGCGUUGUGCCGUACAGCGCAGACCCGUCCCUCGUGGUGGAAAUAACACGCGCCGCCCUGCGGUACGGCACUGCCAUCGUGGACAAGCGCAUGCUGGCUGAGCUGAUGGUGCAGUGGCUGAGCCCAGUGCGUGCCCCCAACCACGGUGAGAGCAGCGGAGGCAGCGGCAGCCGGCACACCGCGGCGCAGGCAUCUCGCCUUGGACUCAGCACCGGCUCGCCGUCCUCCGCGGCGCAGUACCCGCCCGAGCACGUGCUUUGGCUCAUGCUGGAGCUGGAGCUGCGCUGUGUCUUGGAGAAGGCGAGCUUUAGCCAGUACGUUCAGCGCCAUUACUUCACGGAGUUGCUGCUGCGCUGUGCCAAGUGCACCGACGCGGGUACCGCGGAGCAGGUGCUUGCGCUGAUGGACCGGCACGCCAUCGCCAAGACAUCAGAAGUGCUGGCGCUGGUUGUGUGGUGCUGGUCGCAGGCACUGGAGAUUGAGAAGGCGCUCGAUCUUAUCGAGUGGAUGGCGCUCAAGGGCUACCUCGACCAGGUAGACUGCUUCCGCAAGGCGCAGAUCGAAUCGCUGCGCUACACAAUGGACCGCCACUACCUCAUGGCCUUCGCCGAUGCCAUCAACACGCCGGCGCUGGUGGAGCGUGCGCUGUCACAUCUCCAGGCGCGCCGGCAGAAGGGCGCGCUGGUGACGGUGCACACGCUUGACCUACUAGUGCUGGCGCUGGCUCGCAUCGGCGAGGAGCGCAAGGCGCUGCAGCUUGUCUCCGCCUACGAGCCUAGGUGGGGAGUGGCGCCACGCACGAACACAUACAACGCCCUCCUCACCGGCUGCUCGCGCCACCGCAGCACGAUGCUGCACCGCGUGGUGUACAAGACGAUGAAGAACAGCGGUGUUGUGCCAAACGUGCUGACGUUUCGCGUGCUCAUCCGCCAGGCCGUGAUGGCCGGCAACAUUGACGAGGCCAUCUUCUACCUGGAAGAAGUGACCGCCUACCCCGGGCUGCGGGUCGAGGUGGAGAUGAUCCUGCCGAUUUUGGAGAGGGCCGCCCGCGUCGGCGACGUGGAGACGGCCACCCGCGUCAGUCAGUAUUCUCUUAAGUGCGACAUCGGCAUCGACGGGAGCGUGCUGCGCAGCGUCAUGCAGCAACUGACGGAGGCGGGGCAGAGUGUGGAAGUGCUGAAGGGCCAACUGCCGCUGCACGAAGCGCUGCGGUCGCGCUCCAAGGCAGGCCGCCAGCGCGCCCGCAACGAAGUGCUCGUGUAGGCGGCUGUCAGGUACAAUGGCGAUGGACGGGUGAGUGAUGGAGGGGAAGGGACACCGGAGGUGCGCCGUACACCUCACCCCUUCGUCUUCCCUUUGUGUCUUGUUUUGCGCGCGUGUUGAAAUGAAAUGCUUGGUUGCCGUUGCCCUGUGCUGAGGUGCGCAUGGCGCUGAUCUUCAUAG